AACGAACGCUGGCGGCAGGCCUAACACAUGCAAGUCGAACGCCCCGCAAGGGGAGUGGCAGACGGGUGAGUAACGCGUGGGAACGUACCCUUCGGUUCGGAAUAACCCGGGGAAACUCGGGCUAAUACCGGAUACGUCCGCAAGGAGAAAGAUUUAUCGCCGAAGGAUCGGCCCGCGUCGGAUUAGCUAGUUGGNGGGUAAUGGCCCACCAAGGCGACGAUCCGGUAGCUGGUCUGAGAGGAUGAUCAGCCACACUGGGACUGAGACACGGCCCAGACUCCUACGGGAGGCAGCAGUGGGGAAUCUUGCGCAAUGGGCGAAAGCCUGGACGCAGCGA
This 337-nucleotide ribosomal RNA is filed under the name uncultured bacterium. RNAcentral describes it as "bacterial SSU rRNA". It matches the Rfam family "Bacterial small subunit ribosomal RNA", at positions 29 to 394 of the family's 1533-position model. The record is from RNAcentral.